Molecule: non-coding RNA, 736 nt
Organism: Lupinus albus (white lupine)
Lineage: Eukaryota; Viridiplantae; Streptophyta; Magnoliopsida; Fabales; Fabaceae
Source: the annotation of a GenBank genome assembly
AGCGCUCUUAGUUCAGUUCGGUAGAACGCGGGUCUCCAAAACCCGAUGUCGUAGGUUCAAAUCCUACAGAGCGUGAUUCCAUUCUUGUUAGAUCGAGAAUGACACUGAAAUAUUUGAACAGCAGUCUAAAGUCUGAAUUUGACCUCCUGUGGAUUAGGAUUAAAAAUAAAGAAAUAGGAGGUCAAUAAAAAAAAAAAGAUGUUAAUUAAUCAAAGGUCCAAACGCGGAGGCAGUUCCAGUCCUUGUCGCAGCGCAGUAGUGAGUAGGUGAUCCAACACCAGAGAUAAAAGACGCAGCAGAUUCAUAUACUGACCUUAGUUAUAUAGAUCGUUUACCUAGGUACAGAAUGAGACCCGUUAGUGAGGUCCAUAUCGGUAAUAGAAAGACCUGCCACCAAAAGCAUUCCGAUGGAGCAGAAGUAGACCCUUCCCCCGCCAUAAUAGCACCACCUAGCUUCGCUGCAUCGGGAUAGUAGUAGCACAUAUCUUUUUAUAGUGAUCGUUAUAGGGAUAAUUAAACCAAUGAUAGAGUUGACCUAGCGACAUCCAUCCCUGGUUUGUCUCCGACCGGGAGAUAGAGACUACUUCAUGCGCAACUUCAACAUCUCCUGCCAAGGGAAGGGAAGGGCUAGGCCUUUUUUUUUUCAAGACCGCCUUUCGGAAAACGCAUUGGCUUUCACUCAAGUUCGAGGAUCCAUUAAAUAAAGCAAAAAAUGCACGUUACAGACGAAAGGUAG